This 197-nucleotide small nuclear RNA is filed under the name Ipomoea nil (Japanese morning glory). RNAcentral's name for it is "U2 spliceosomal RNA". It matches the Rfam family "U2 spliceosomal RNA". From Rfam's summary of the family: U2 is a small nuclear RNA (snRNA) component of the spliceosome (involved in pre-mRNA splicing). Complementary binding between U2 snRNA (in an area lying towards the 5' end but 3' to hairpin I) and the branchpoint sequence (BPS) of the intron results the bulging out of an unpaired adenosine, on the BPS, which initiates a nucleophilic attack at the intronic 5' splice site, thus starting the first of two transesterification reactions that mediate splicing. The record is from Rfam by way of RNAcentral. Lineage: Eukaryota; Viridiplantae; Streptophyta; Magnoliopsida; Solanales; Convolvulaceae.
AUACCUUUCUCGGCCUUUUUGGCUAAGAUCAAGUGUAGUAUCUGUUCUUAUCAAUUUAAUAUCUGAUACGUGAGCCGUUGGCUCACACGAUAUUAACUCAAUUUUUUUGAGGGGAAGGUUCAUUAAAGUAGCUUGCUACUUGAGCUUUCAUGUGUCGCCUUGGCGUUGCACUAAAGCCUUGGCCUGGCAAACCCUAC